RNAcentral lists this ribosomal RNA (506 nucleotides) under uncultured bacterium. RNAcentral describes it as "partial 16S ribosomal RNA". It matches the Rfam family "Bacterial small subunit ribosomal RNA", at positions 29 to 523 of the family's 1533-position model. The record is from RNAcentral.
AGUGAACGCUGGCGGUAGGCCUAACACAUGCAAGUCGAACGGCAGCACAGGAGAGCUUGCUCUCUGGGUGGCGUGUGGCGGACGGGUGAGGAAUACAUCGGAAUCUACUCUGUCGUGGGGGAUAACGUAGGGAAACUUACGCUAAUACCGCAUACGACCUACGGGUGAAAGCAGGGGACCUUCGGGCCUUGCGCGAUUGAAUGAGCCGAUGUCGGAUUAGCUAGUUGGCGGGGUAAAGGCCCACCAAGGCGAGGAUCCGUAGCUGGUCUGAGAGGAUGAUCAGCCACACGGGAACUGAGACACGGUCCAGACUCCUACGGGAGGCAGCAGUGGGGAAUAUUGGACAAUGGGCGCAAGCCUGAUCCAGCCAUACCGCGUGGGUGAAGAAGGCCUUCGGGUUGUAAAGCCCUUUUGUUGGGAAAGAAAUCCAGCUGGCUAAUACCCGGUUGGGAUGACGGUACCCAAAGAAUAAGCACCGGCUAACUUCGUGCCAGCAGCCGCCGUAA